UCUGGGUAAAUGCUGCAUAUAAAUAUGUAGAGGAAAGUCCAUGCUCGCACUAUCUGCGAUGAUAGUAGUGUUUGUGCUUAGGGAAAAAAUAACCUAAGGCAGGAAACUGACGGCUUUUAUUUUAUCUAAGGGAAACUAUGAUAAAGUAGAUAUAAAAGUGCCACAGAAACGAGUCUAUUAAGAAAUUAGUAGAAUGAAACGAGGUAAACCCCACAAGCGAGAAACCCAAAUUAUGGUAGGGGAAUUCCCAAUGAAGAAAUGAAUUCAAAGGGAAAUGACAAUAGUCAUAGAUAAAUAUUUACCGCCUAGCAAUAGGUACAGAACAUGGCUUAUAA
Molecule: RNase P RNA, 335 nt
Filed under: pig gut metagenome
Description: Bacterial RNase P class B
Rfam family: Bacterial RNase P class B
About the family: Ribonuclease P (RNase P) is a ubiquitous endoribonuclease, found in archaea, bacteria and eukarya as well as chloroplasts and mitochondria. Its best characterised activity is the generation of mature 5'-ends of tRNAs by cleaving the 5'-leader elements of precursor-tRNAs.
Source: RNAcentral